RNAcentral lists this ribosomal RNA (444 nucleotides) under uncultured bacterium. Its description in RNAcentral is "partial 16S ribosomal RNA". It matches the Rfam family "Bacterial small subunit ribosomal RNA", at positions 331 to 792 of the family's 1533-position model. The record is from RNAcentral.
CCAGACUCCUACGGGAGGCAGCAGUGGGGAAUAUUGCACAAUGGGGGAAACCCUGAUGCAGCGACGCCGCGUGAGCGAUGAAGUAUUUCGGUAUGUAAAGCUCUAUCAGCAGGGAAGAAAAUGACGGUACCUGACUAAGAAGCCCCGGCUAACUACGUGCCAGCAGCCGCGGUAAUACGUAGGGGGCAAGCGUUAUCCGGAUUUACUGGGUGUAAAGGGAGCGUAGACGGUCCUGCAAGCCAGAUGUGAAAGCCCGGGGCUCAACCCCGGGACUGCAUUUGGAACUGUAAGGCUAGAGUGUCGGAGAGGCAGGCGGAAUUCCUAGUGUAGCGGUGAAAUGCGUAGAUAUCAGGAGGAACACCGGCGGCGAAGGCGGCCUGCUGGACCGUGACUGACGUUGAGGCUCGAGAGCGUGGGGAGCAAACAGGAUUAGAUACCCGAGUA